This 396-nucleotide ribosomal RNA is filed under the name uncultured bacterium. Its description in RNAcentral is "bacterial SSU rRNA". It matches the Rfam family "Bacterial small subunit ribosomal RNA", at positions 30 to 426 of the family's 1533-position model. The record is from RNAcentral.
AUUGAACGCUGGCGGCAUGCCUUACACAUGCAAGUCGAACGGCAGCACGGGGGCAACCCUGGUGGCGAGUGGCGAACGGGUGAGUAACAUAUCGGAACAUACCCUAGAGUGGGGGAUAACGUAGCGAAAGUUACGCUAAUACCGCAUACGAUCUAAGGAUGAAAGUGGGGGAUCUUCGGACCUCAUGCUCAUGGAGUGGCCGAUAUCUGAUUAGCUAGUUGGUGAGGUAAAGGCUCACCAAGGCGACGAUCAGUAGCUGGUUUGAGAGAACGACCAGCCACACUGGAACUGAGACACGGUCCAGACUCCUACGGGAGGCAGCAGUGGGGAAUUUUGGACAAUGGGGGCAACCCUGAUCCAGCAAUGCCGCGUGAGUGAAGAAGGCCUUCGGGUUGG